GUAGCCUACAACAGGAAUGAACAAAUAGAUAGUGUUUCCGGCGGCGAUUCCGCCGGCCCCUCUCCUCUUCGAUGUCCGGUCCGGCGUCGGAGAGGGGGUGGGCCGCGGAAACGUCGUGCGGAUGUAUAUAUGGUAGGUAGAAGUCUAUUUAGGCCUAGGGUUUACUCAUCGUCGGGGUUCGAUGGCGGAGCUAGGGUUUGCUGCGGAGGAGAGGCCACCGUGCUCGUUGUGGGGUCGAUGAGGUUGAGUUCUUCCUUCGGCGGCAGCUGUUCCUCCCACUGGUCGUCAGCGACGGCGGCAAGUUGGGAUGGAUUUUGUUCCUGCAGAGUAUUUCGGUUUACCAAUCUUGGGUGUCCGCCCUUUGAUCUGCAUAGGUAAGUUUGGGGGGUUGAAGCUCCGGUGCGUGGAUUGGAUCUCACGGAAAUGGCUUCGGUGUCUGAUCUAGUUGAGGAAGAUGAACAGUAGGGGCCUCGAUGUAAUUUGCGUGUUUCUCAGGGUCUUUACUGUAAAACUGAGAUGUACUGUUCUACCUUUGCUGUAAUAAAAGUUGCAUAUCUGUUUAGCAAAAAAAAAGUUUCUA
Long non-coding RNA from Panicum virgatum (switchgrass), 580 nucleotides. RefSeq lists it as uncharacterized. NCBI's taxonomy places the organism in Eukaryota, Viridiplantae, Streptophyta, Magnoliopsida, Poales, Poaceae. The record is from RefSeq and is a predicted model, not a curated record. The transcript has 2 exons.